RNAcentral lists this ribosomal RNA (402 nucleotides) under uncultured bacterium. RNAcentral describes it as "partial 16S ribosomal RNA". It matches the Rfam family "Bacterial small subunit ribosomal RNA", at positions 364 to 759 of the family's 1533-position model. The record is from RNAcentral.
UCUGCGCAUGGGGGCACCCUGACAGCGACGCCGCGUGGGGGAUGAAGGCCUUCGGGUUGUAAACCCCUGUCAGGUGGGACGAAGGUGCGGGGGGGGCAACGCCCUCGCGCGUGACGGUACCAUCAGAGGAAGUCCCGGCUAACUCCGUGCCAGCAGCCGCGGUAAUACGGAGGGGACGAGUGUUGUUCGGAAUUACUGGGCGUAAAGGGCGCGUAGGCGGCUUAGCGAGUCGCGUGUGAAAGCCCUCCGCUUAGCGGAGGAAGGGCGCGCGAUACUACCGAGCUGGAGGACGGGAGAGGGCAGUGGAACUCUCGGUGUAGGGGGGGGGGGCUGUAGAGAUCGAGAGGAACACCGGUGGCGAAGGCGGCUGCCUGGCCCGUUACUGACGCUGAGGCGCGAAAU